CGCUCACCCUAUCUGUGGCGCCGCGCGCUGCGCGCGGCCGCCGGGCCCCUGGCCAGGGACACCCUCUCCCCCGAACCCGCAGCCCGCGAGGCUCCUCUCCUGCUGCCCUCGUGGGUUCAGGAGCUGUGGGAGACGCGACGCAGGAGCUCCCAGGCAGGGAUCCCCGUCCGUGCGCCCCGGAGCCCGCGCGCCCCAGAGCCUGCGCUGGAACCGGAGUCCCUGGACUUCAGCGGAGCUGGCCAGACUUCGGAGAGACGUCUCCCGCCCAGCGGUGGACCCCGCAGCAAACCGCCUUGGCCUGCCCUGCCUGGCCCCCGGACCGUUCUGACAGCGUCCCCCGCCCGCCCGUGGCGCCUCCGCG
This 361-nucleotide long non-coding RNA is filed under the name Homo sapiens (human). Its description in RNAcentral is "HSALNT0226538". The record is from RNAcentral. Lineage: Eukaryota; Metazoa; Chordata; Mammalia; Primates; Hominidae.